RNAcentral lists this transfer RNA (46 nucleotides) under Myrcia rufipes. Its description in RNAcentral is "partial tRNA-His". Lineage: Eukaryota; Viridiplantae; Streptophyta; Magnoliopsida; Myrtales; Myrtaceae. The record is from RNAcentral.
CGGAUGUAGCCAAGUGGAUCAAGGCAGUGGAUUGUGAAUCCACCAU